Long non-coding RNA from Centropristis striata (black sea bass), 803 nucleotides. RefSeq lists it as uncharacterized. The record is from RefSeq and is a predicted model, not a curated record. Lineage: Eukaryota; Metazoa; Chordata; Actinopteri; Perciformes; Serranidae. The transcript is spliced from 8 exons.
CCACCGUGUCCAGUGUUGUCUCCACCAGAAAGCAAGUAGGUGAAAAAACUAAACACACUUUAUACAUAGCUGUACCUACGACCGCCGUGGUUAAGUAACGUUAGGUUAAUGUUAAUUAUAUUCAACGUUUGUAACAAGACGUCCUCAUAACGGCCACCAAUAAAGGUAGCUCUGAGCUAGCGAGAUGCUAAAGUAGCUAACGGCUUCCUUACACGUGCUACAUGUUGGAUUAUGAUCCGUCGGGUCUGAACGGAUCUAAAGAAGUCCUGAUGCAGACCCCAUCGGGCUUCAGGUGUUGUGCAUGCUUUGGAUAUGGCUUUAUUGCUGAAUGUGAUGGAUGAAAGGCUGUCCUGCAGUUUGUGCUGGUCCUCUGGGACAUGAGGUACUGAAGAUGAUGUCAGGCCAGCAGGGUCUCCUCAUUGCCCUGGCCUUCAGCACUGAUGCAACAUCAUGUUUCUGCUGCAGUAAUGGAUGACGUCAGUACUCCAGGCUUCUGCAGGUGCUCCGCAACACAGGUCGCUGUGAUGGCCGGAGCAUGAAACUCGUGAACUUGUGACAGCAGUUUCUGCUGCUGUAAAGGAUAAACUCGUUAUCCCAGGAUUCAGCAGGGACUCUGCUAUACAGAGUGAUGCAGAGCCAUUGGUGACCAGCUGAGAUCUGUCAGGACGGCUGUCACUCCCUGCAGGAUAAAAUUGUCUCAUUUUCUGACUUUGGGGCAGCUAUGCAUCUUGACUGCAUCAAAUUCCUGCCUUGUCCUUUGUCAACUCUGCACUAAAUGCCAAAUAAAAUAUUUAAUUUCAUAA